GAUGAACGCUGACAGAAUGCUUAACACAUGCAAGUCGACUCGAGUCUUCGGACUUGGGUGGCGCACGGGUGAGUAACGCGUAAAGAACUUGCCUCUUAGACCGGGACAACAUCUGGAAACGGAUGCUAAUACCGGAUAUUAUGGUUUUUUCGCAUGGAGGAAUCAUGAAAGCUAGAUGCGCUAAGAGAGAGCUUUGCGUCCCAUUAGCUAGUUGGUGAGGUAACGGCCCACCAAGGCAAUGAUGGGUAGCCGGCCUGAGAGGGUGAACGGCCACAAGGGGACUGAGACACGGCCCUUACUCCUACGGGAGGCAGCAGUGGGGAAUAUUGGACAAUGGACCACAAGUCUGAUCCAGCAAUUCUGUGUGCACGAUGACGUUUUUCGGAAUGUAAAGUGCUUUCAGUCGGGAAGAAGUCAGUGACGGUACCGACAGAAGAAGCGACGGCUAAAUACGUGCCAGCAGCCGCGGUAAUACGUAUGUCGCAAGCGUUAUCCGGAUUUAUUGGGCGUAAAGCGCGUCUAGGCGGCAAGGAAAGUCUGAUGUGAAAAUGCGGAGCUCAACUCCGUAUGGCGUUGGAAACUGCCUUACUAGAGUACUGGAGAGGUAGGCGGAACUACUAGUGUAGAGGUGAAAUUCGUAGAUAUUUGUAGGAAUGCCGAUGGGGAAGCCAGCCUACUGGACAGAUACUGACGCUAAAGCGCGAAAGCGUGGGUAGCAAACAUG
Molecule: ribosomal RNA, 724 nt
Filed under: uncultured Fusobacterium sp.
Lineage: Bacteria; Fusobacteriati; Fusobacteriota; Fusobacteriia; Fusobacteriales; Fusobacteriaceae
Description: bacterial SSU rRNA
Rfam family: Bacterial small subunit ribosomal RNA
Source: RNAcentral